CUCUUCCUAUCUUUUUAAUGUCCUCCUUAUGUAUUCCCAGUUACCAGUAAAAGAAAUGUACGAAAUUCACCUGCUGGAAAAAAAAAUCCAAAAAAACGACAAAGAAAUUCAAUACUUGGACCUUCAGAUCAGGAGGGUGGAUGUAGAAACUGAAAUACUGGAGCACAAGUUGGAGGUGGGUGCAUGGUCACAGGUGGAUGAUGUGAAUUAUGUGAAGUAUUGGAACAUAAACUAAACUAGCUCUGGUAUUUGUAGGAAAUAAAGAAGACCAAAU
This is a long non-coding RNA of Sphaeramia orbicularis (orbiculate cardinalfish), 274 nucleotides long. RefSeq lists it as uncharacterized. The transcript has 3 exons. Lineage: Eukaryota; Metazoa; Chordata; Actinopteri; Kurtiformes; Apogonidae. The record is from RefSeq and is a predicted model, not a curated record.